This is a non-coding RNA of Phalacrocorax carbo (great cormorant), 4559 nucleotides long. Lineage: Eukaryota; Metazoa; Chordata; Aves; Suliformes; Phalacrocoracidae. The record is from RefSeq and is a predicted model, not a curated record.
UCUAGCUGGUAUAGUGCUGUGCUUUGAACUUAUCAUGUUAAAAAUGUUGAGAUAACACACAGAUGUUUGGGCUGUUGCUGGGCAGUGCUUGUACUAGACUCAAGGACUUUUCCAGCCUCCCAUGCUCUGCCGGGUGCACAAGAAGCCGGGAGGGGAGGGGGCACAGCUAAGAGAGUGGAUUCAAACUGGCCAAAGGGAUAUUCCAUAUCAUGUAACGUCAUGCCCAGUAUGUUACCUGGGAGGGGCUGGCCAGGGGAGGGAGGCAGCAAUCGCGGCUCAGGGAUGGGCAGUGUCAGUCAGCGGGUGGUGAGCGGUUGUAUUGUUUGUGUUUCUGUGGGUUUUUUCCUUUUUUUUCCUUUCCCUUCCUUUUCCAUUUUAUUAUAUUAACAUUAUUGUCAUUAUUAUCAUUAUUAUUAUUAUUAUUAUUUUAUUGUCAUUAUUAAACUGUGCUUAUCUCAACCCACAAGUUCUUUUGCUCAUCCGAUUCUCUUCCCCAUCCCACAGGGGUGGGGGGGAGUGAGCGAGCGGCUGCGCGGCGUUUAGUUGCUGACUGAGGCUGAACCACGACAGGGAUGGGAAAGAAUCAACUCAAAUACUUUUGUGUUAAAAAAAGAAUUGAUAAAAUUUUUCUUCCUUCUUUCUCUUCUUUUUAUUUGGAGCAAGGUAAGAGUACAAAAGGUAAGAUUUAUUUGGAAGAAAUUUAAAACCUGAAGUACUCAAUGAGAGAAAAAAUAUAUAUGGAAAGAAUAGGCCAAACGUAAAAAGAUAAAGGAAAAAAUUUUGUCUUACUGACACUAUGAGAUAUUGGGAAAGCCACUAGAGAAAAAUGUUGUCGUUUUCAUACUUCAGGGCUUUCAUUUCACUUUGAUGAAAAUUGAAUAACAUCCAAUUUUCCCAAUAUUGUAAAGCAUUUCACACAUAUUUGUCAUUUUCAAGCGACAAGUAAUUUCAAAAGUCACCAAGUUUAAAGCUGAUAUUUGAUGGACAGGGUAGUUCUGUAAAAAUUGAAGAGUGGUCCAAUGACUACAGCAGUAUCGUGGGAUUUAAAGUUCAUAGUUUUGCCAUAGAGUGUCUAUCUGAGCUUGGACAAGACAUUUGAUCUUUAUGUUGCAUUUCUUCCUCUGUAAAAUAGGAAAGCGUAACAUUUGUCAGUCUCAGAGGAAACUGCAAGGAUAAAUAUAUUAAUAGUCAAAAAGAAAGUUCAGGAAAAAAAGUUUUCAUUUAAGCAUACGAAAUUGCUGAUUUGAAAUGUCAUUGAGGUUCAACAGUUGAAACAGUUGAUCUUCAAAUGCUUAAUGCAAUGUCUUAUGUGGCUUUAAAUCAUUGGAACUGCAAAUAGCUACAAAUAGAUAUAAAAAGUCCUCAGGCCUCAUAAAAUACUAAUACAGUAUUUUUGAUAAUAAUUCCAGUUAUUGAAUUUCCACUACAGACUAUACUGGGAUUAAAUACAUUCACAGAAUAUUAUUAUAUAUGCUCAAAAUCUGCAAGUAGAAUUCAAUAAUGUGUUAAAAUACCAGUACCUCUGAACAGAGAAAUUAUAUAAAAUGAAGUAAGGUCUCUAUAGAUAAAGUAAAAUAAAACUUGUUUUAAGAGUUUGUUGUUUGGUUUCUGUGCAGUUGUCAAACAGGCACAUUAAAUCCCACAAUUUUUGAUAAAUUUUAAAAUAGCCAUCAAAAUGUGCACCAUGAAUUCUAGACAUAUGUUAGGACAUAGGACAUGGAUAAUAAAGGCCUGGUGGAGUUUUGUAGAAGCAAGGUGAUGAAACCUGGAAAAAAAAAAAAAAAAAAGAGAACAGCUACCUAGGAUGAAAGUAGUGUUCAGCAGCCCUGUGUGUUUCUCAGACCAUGUGUUUGUCCUCUAUGUAGCUCACGCUAUUUCUAUUAGAGCUAGGAGCACUCUUAUUUUUGCUUCUCUAUGUCUGUGCUCUUUUUGGCAGUUAAUGUUAAAAAGCAGCUGUGUGAACUGUAGUGUAUGGAAGAUAAUCUUGGAAACUUUUGGCACAAAGUAGUUUAAGUUAAGCACCUCACUUUCAUGUCAUUCUUUGUGGAAUUAUGUGAACUCCAAAUGUAUAAUAUUGAGGUGGGGAAAUUCAGCCUUACAUAAUGAUGAAACAUAUUUAUGGUCAUAAAAGUACUCCAGAGCAGUUUCUUUUCAUUUCAUAUCUACUGUAUCCAUUUUUGAGCUCCUUCAUUCACCUCCAACUUGACAGAUUUUCUGCUGCCUGCAUGAAGGCAUGCACAUCAUCUGCUCAAAAGCAAGCUGAAUUCAGUUCUACCCUGUGCAUCACUGGCAGCUUUGCCAGGCAAAUGUUAUUAUUCACUCUGUGAUCUUUAUAGUUCUGGAUGAAUAAAACUUACAGAAUGCUUUUUCGUGUUGACUGACUGUGGCAUGGGAGAUAAUCAUUAAGUUGUAUUCUAAAAAGUCAAGGUAAUCUUUAAAGUUUUCCUAAAAGAAAAAGGUGGCAUGUUAUAUUACAUGAUACUUUUUGCCUGAUACUGUAAAAACAAAUAGGUAAGUAUUGAAAAUCAGAAUUUAAUUUUUUCCCAUGGCAUUAAUAUUAAGAAUUAAAUGUUUAUUAAAGAUUUCAUUUAAAGUAUGAAAAUGAUUGUCCAGUGAUGUUAAAUUACAAAAAUUCGUGACCAGAAAAUGCAUUUCAAGACACAAAAGAGACGAUUUGCAACAGGUCAUGACCAACUGAGAAAGAAAAAUAUAUAGGCCUAAUAGUAUUGCAACAAGUGUCUAUUUUGCCUAUUACUGUAGAAGGACAAGAAUACACGGAGCAUAUUGCACUGAAAUUUGCUUCAGCCUGAUUAGGACACUUAAUGUGAUGUAAGUCUCCAGCCAGUGCUGACAAGAAGUAAUACUGUGAUUUUCCCCUUCUACCUCUUUUCCCUCUGGAAGCUUGUAAUGCCACUCACAUGAUAUUUUCUGCAAAUGUCCUUUCAGCUUUGGCUUGAACAUAAGGCCCAGGAAGAGCUUAGUUGUAGUGCUACAAGUUCUUUCUGCAUGAAAUAAAAAUAUGUGCAUUAAACUAAUUUUUACAUUAAGUCUUUUUUCUCCACCUGUGAACUGGAAAGUGCUUAUUGCAUGUAAGCCAAUACGUAUGUACCAACUUCCUACUGUAUAGAACAGACACAAUAAAUAUGUGCCGUGCUCAAAUUCAGAGAUAGAUUAAAAGUUGUACAGUCAUUGCUGUUAUCCUAGCUCAGCCCAAAGGCUGAGUUCAUAUAGGGAAUCUGACAUGGCACAGGAGUCCCUAUUGUCUCCAUUUUGUUCUCAUUAACUCGCUGAUACAUCAUUAUUACAUUGAUAAACAGUGUAGGUAUGAUCAUAGAGUGGUGACACUGUGAACUUUUCUAGCAUGUGUGCAUUAGUCCAUUUUCACAUGCCUAUUUCCCUUCUGCCUCUGGAAAAGAUAGUUAGCUCUGUGGCCCAUUGACUUCUUGGCUGCAGUAAGCCUGCUAAUGAGCUGAAUCAAAGCUUCCAGAUAACUUCACUUGUGCUACCGAAACAGACGCUAAGUAUCUGUGGCAGAGAUAAAGCAAUUACACAAAUGUGAAUGGCAUCUUGUCAUCUAAGCUGCUCGCGUCCUCUGAACAUCCAGUUUCAAGCAUUCAUUUACACAAUAUACAUAUUACCCGUUAAAACAGAAGCAGAGUAUACUUAGAAAGGGAAGUUGCAGUAAAGAUUUUUCAAGAGAUAUUAUCAUCUUAACAUUCCUUAUUGGUAUCUCCAACUCUCUGAAAAUGUAAGCUUUUCAUUUUGCCAUCAUGUUGGAGAAGGAGAACAAACCACACCUGGCAUAUUUUCAUCAUUUCUGACAUGGUUUGUUUCAAGAUGUCUAUCUGAAUUCUCAAUAUGCUCAUUUGCCUGUUUUAGCACCUCCUGCUCUCUGUCCUGUGGAUUGUGAAUGUAAUUUAUGUGCACAAUAUAGUAGUCUUUUGAAUUUGUAACUGUACCUUUGUCAUGGUUUUAGCUGGGAUAGAGUUAAUCUUCAUCACUGUAGCAGGCAUAGUGCUGUGCUUUGGACUUAAUAUAAAAAUAAUAUUGAUAACACUGAUGUUUUAGUUGUUGCUGGGUAGUGCUUAUACUAAUCAAGGACUUUUUUAUCUUCCCAUGCUCUGCCAGGUGCACAAGAAGCCGGGAGAGGGCACAGCCAGGAGAAUGGAUCCAAAUUGGCCAAAGGGAUAUUGCAUACCAUGUGACAUCAUGCCAGGUAGAAACAAGUAAAGAGGAACUGGUAUGCCUGCCAGAGAUUUUGACGCACCCAGAUCUUCACCUUCUCCCACUCUGUGAAAGCAGGAACACCAGUGGAUUUCAGUGUCACUGAAGCAGGGAAGAUAUGUUUCAUUUUCAUGCUGCAUGGAUGUUGAUGAAGGAAGAACAAACCAGCAAACAAGAAAGCAGUUAGUCUUUACCGACAGCAGUCUUCAGGGCACUGGUUUAAUUCCAUUCCAGAAGGUGCUGAUAUCAGUGAAGAUAAUUUGUUCUUCCAGGAUGUGAAAGAAGAGAAUUUCUUGCAGAACCUUUACUAUAUAUCAUUCUCACUUUGUGUUUAA